UCCAAAUUCCCCAAAUAUAAAUCCUCUCACGCACUCCCUCCGCCGCCGACCGCUAGCUAUCUGGCAGCCUGCACGCUGUUGACCGCCCGCCAUCUCCAGCACGUCAUCAUCGCGGUAGCAAGGUUGCUGCCCUGUCUCCUUCGUCCUCCUGCACCCCCACUACUUAGCCCCCAAACACUUCUAACCCUAUCUUGUGCGCUGGUGUUCGGGGAGAGGCCAAGGCGCGGUGGUGGACAACACCGUCCCUCUCAGAUCCGGGGCAGAGAGAGAGGUGGUUCACCUGCGAGAGAGAGCACUCGCACCCUCACUCGUCACCCAGGAGCCGCCACCACCGCCGCCACGCCAUGGGCUUCCUCAGAUCUGUGCCACCCUGUUCGUUUGAAGAAGGAUCUGGCCGUUGAUUGCUGGUGCUUCCCCUCGCCCGACGAUCUGCCAUGACUUGGGAUAGUACUUCUGUCCAGCAAGCAGCGCUUUGGCUGGGAGCUCAAGCUCAAGCAGAACGUCAAAAACAUGGGCUCUAUCUGCUAAUGGGGUAGCCGGCAAUGCAGUCUAAGGGCUGGCUACUGCUCAUCUGAUUUCUGGAUAUGAGAGGAUGAGAACUUGAGAAGAACAAGCUUGAUGCUAUGAUUGCAAAAAAAUCUGUACUACAGGUGAGAGUUAAGACACACCAUACACAGGCUCUGUAAGAUGGCGGAAAUAUUCCUCUUCGUCAACGACUUCUACGAGGACGAUAUUGACCUAGAGGCUGGAGCUUUGCUACUCCUUCCGGCCAACAACAAGCAUGUGAUUCACUGAACAAAAAAAGGACUGCACUCACAUAUGAAAUGCUUGCAAGUUAUAGAAAAAUGAAGCAAAGGACCAACGGUGUAGGAGAAAUCUUCUCAGUUUCUGAAUCCUGAGCAGUAGCAAGUCAGGUGCUUAAUGGUGAUCCUACCACGCAUAUGUCAUAAGCAGGAAUGACAUGCAAGAGAACCAGGAAGGAACCAUGAAGAUGGCAGUUUGCAUCAGCUAGACAUUUUGUGUAAUGGAGCAAAUACAAUGUGUCUUUUAGUUAUCGUUUUGUAAACCUAUAUGGUGUCUUGUCAACUGGGUAUUUUGUGUAAAGGAGCAAACAAUGAAUCGUCAGACAUGCAUCUAUCAUUUUGUAAACCAAUCAGGUGUCUUGGUGAUUGAAACAUAAAUGUUUCCUCCUUUCAAUUAGUUACUU
RNAcentral lists this ribosomal RNA (1207 nucleotides) under Triticum aestivum (bread wheat). RNAcentral's name for it is "partial small subunit ribosomal RNA". The record is from RNAcentral. Lineage: Eukaryota; Viridiplantae; Streptophyta; Magnoliopsida; Poales; Poaceae.